AUCCAGCUGACGAGUCCCAAAUAGAACGAAACGCUCAUCAAACUGGAU
This is a non-coding RNA of Schistosoma rodhaini, 48 nucleotides long. NCBI's taxonomy places the organism in Eukaryota, Metazoa, Platyhelminthes, Trematoda, Strigeidida, Schistosomatidae. The record is from Rfam.